AUUCUGGUUCAGUUUCUUCCUUUAAUCGUUGCGCGUCUAUAUAAUCUCCACCCACCCUGCUAGCUGCUACUGCUCAUUCCCCAACUUUAUUUGGCAGGGUCACAUCUUCUGGCCAUGCUUCGCCAGGUGCUCUCACAUCUCGGUUGAUGUAUUGGAACUGCCGACGGGUUCUGGUGGUUAUUUCAGGCACUUCUAAAGCUCACGAUUUGCAAUGGUUGGCACCCAGGGCAUUGCGUCUACCGUGCACUGUCCUCUUCAUCAUGUUUGAGGGUGAUCAGACCUCCAGCCAAUUGGGUCUGCAUGUGUCCACGAAGAGAAAAUUGCAAAAGGACGACUAUUAAAGCAUCAAGUGUUAGUAUAUUUUUGGUUUUGCGGACGGAUGUGAUAUUGUGGAUGCGUCUGCUUUCAAGGUUUUUUUAACCGAGUUAUUUAUGUGUGCAAAAGCUAGAUCUCAAGCUUUCAACAUUGUUCAGUUUCACGCGUAAAUGCAGGCUUGCUUUUCUUAAAGAAAUAAUUUUUUUAUAAGGCAGAAGGCUUUCAACAUUGUUCAGCUUCAUGAAUAAAUUCAGAAUUGUUUUUCUUAAA
Aegilops tauschii subsp. strangulata is the source of this 585-nucleotide long non-coding RNA. RefSeq lists it as uncharacterized. NCBI's taxonomy places the organism in Eukaryota, Viridiplantae, Streptophyta, Magnoliopsida, Poales, Poaceae. The record is from RefSeq and is a predicted model, not a curated record.